Molecule: long non-coding RNA, 612 nt
Organism: Nematostella vectensis (starlet sea anemone)
Lineage: Eukaryota; Metazoa; Cnidaria; Anthozoa; Actiniaria; Edwardsiidae
Exons: 2
Source: RefSeq, a predicted model, not a curated record
CUGAGAUUGUGCAGAUAAUACGCAGCACUUACAAGGUCCUUCCUGAUUGGCUACCGGAAGUCAUUGUUUUACGAUGGGCGGUCGCCAAGUCACAAUUCACCCUCCAUACUCUGUUUUGCAGCCAAUCUUCUCUAAAAUCCUGGUUAAUUCCCCUUCUCUUCCAUAAUUGCUUUUCCUGUAUCUUACUACAAGCUUUAUUCAUUGAAAGACCAAACAAUACUCACCUAGAACGUAAACAGCACCAGAGUUUUUUUUAACAAAAAGGUAAAAGGAAAAGAUGUGACGUUUGACGUUGAAAAUUGAAUCUGUAUUGUUUGAACCGGACAAGCUUAGCCUGUCAUAUAACCUCAUAUUCUCCAAAGCAAAAAUACACUCAUUAUCCGUGAAUUCCAUUGCUUUAAAGUGCACCUGAAGGAAUAAAAGCAAUAUCCUCCAAAACGGUUCAUCCAUCGAUAUCUAAUAUCUGCUAUGAUAGAAAAAUCUUAAUUACCAAAAAUCCUCGAUUUCCCAUAAUCCCCGAUUUUUUAGAGCCUUUUGAAUAUACCAGUCUGUAAAACACCUACUUGCCCAGUCCCCUCACGGAUAAAGCUCGAGUUGGCGCGAAAUGAUCAC